This is a long non-coding RNA of Cebus imitator (Panamanian white-faced capuchin), 353 nucleotides long. RefSeq lists it as uncharacterized. The record is from RefSeq and is a predicted model, not a curated record. NCBI's taxonomy places the organism in Eukaryota, Metazoa, Chordata, Mammalia, Primates, Cebidae. The transcript is spliced from 3 exons.
CUCUACGGGCUAAGCUGGACCCUCGCAGACCUACCUUCCCACCUUGCAUUCGGCCCCGAGCAGCGUGCUCAGGCCACGUGGAGAAGCCACCCCUAGUUCCAAGGGUGGAUGUGGCACCUCGGCCUGGCCAAUCAGAGCUGCCGGUGUCCUAGGUCCCAGUGACUAGUUCAAGUUGGACGCAUGGCCCAACAAGAGGCCUUUCCUGGGAGUUCUGCCAGGAGCAUGGUGGCGAGGGGUGGGGGGUGGACCUGAGAACCUUGCCUGGGGCCCUGGAUCCAGCUGUACCUGAUGCUAGCCAAUUUCAUUUCAAUUCUUCAGUUUCAUCGAUCUCUGAAUUAUGAUUUUUGCCAAAA